RNAcentral lists this ribosomal RNA (251 nucleotides) under uncultured prokaryote. Its description in RNAcentral is "partial 16S rRNA". It matches the Rfam family "Bacterial small subunit ribosomal RNA", at positions 525 to 775 of the family's 1533-position model. The record is from RNAcentral.
ACGGAGGAUCCAAGCGUUAUCCGGAUUUACUGGGUUUAAAGGGUGCGUAGGCGGAUUGAUAAGUCAGUGGUGAAAGCCUACAGCUUAACUGUAGAACUGCCAUUGAUACUGCCAGACUGGAGUAUGGGAGAGGUAGGCGGAAUGUGUAGUGUAGCGGUGAAAUGCGUAGAGAUUAGGAAGAACACCGGUGGCGAAGGCGGCUUACUGGACUAGUACUGACGCUCAGGUGCGAAAGCGUGGGGAGCAAACAG